ACGUCUGGAAGGCUGUGGUCGAAGGCCAUUUUUUUUUGCUAGUUAUAAGCGGAGUGGGUCUCCAGAACCAAAGGGAGCUCAUUCUUCUCAAAAUUGACGGUGUUUAUGCCCAAGAAGAAACUGAAUUGUAUUUGGGCAAGAGAUGCGCUUAUGUACACAAAGCGAGAACAGCACACUGACUCCUGGCGGCAAACCAAACAAAUCCAGAGUUAUCUGGGGAAGGUUCACUCCGGCGCACGGAAACAGCGGCAUGGUUCAUGCCAAAUUCCGAAGCAAUCUUCCUGCUAAGGCCACUGGACACAGAAUCCAUGUGAUGCUGUACCUCUCAAAGAUUUAG
Molecule: long non-coding RNA, 337 nt
Filed under: Homo sapiens (human)
Lineage: Eukaryota; Metazoa; Chordata; Mammalia; Primates; Hominidae
Description: non-protein coding lnc-BORA-14:1
Source: RNAcentral